AUGGAAGCUAUCAGCCUGUGGCACUGCUGAGGUGUUAUGGAAGACCAGGAUAGUUCAAUAGCUGUCUUCAGCUCUUCUGCAUUGUUCGGUCUCAUGUCUCACAUCUUUCUCUUGGCAAUGCCCCAUAGAUUCUCUAUGGGGUUCAGGUCAGGAGAGUUUGCUGGCCAAUCAAGCACAAUAAUCCCAUGGUCAUUGAACCAGGCUUUGGUGCUUUUGGCAUUGUGGGCAGGUGCCAAGUCCUGCUGGAAAAUGAAGUCAGCAUCCCCAUAAAGCU
Pelobates cultripes (western spadefoot toad) is the source of this 274-nucleotide non-coding RNA. The record is from the annotation of a GenBank genome assembly. NCBI's taxonomy places the organism in Eukaryota, Metazoa, Chordata, Amphibia, Anura, Pelobatidae.